Molecule: ribosomal RNA, 938 nt
Filed under: human gut metagenome
Description: bacterial SSU rRNA
Rfam family: Bacterial small subunit ribosomal RNA
Source: RNAcentral
AGAGUUUGAUCCUGGCUCAGGAUGAACGCUGGCGGCGUGCCUAACACAUGCAAGUCGAACGAUGAAACCGCCCUCGGGCGGACAUGAAGUGGCGAACGGGUGAGUAACACGUGACCAACCUGCCCCCCUCUCCGGGACAACCUUGGGAAACCGAGGCUAAUACCGGAUACUCCCUCCCCUGCUCCUGCAGGGGUCGGGAAAGCCCAGGCGGAGGGGGAUGGGGUCGCGGCCCAUUAGGUAGUAGGCGGGGUAACGGCCCACCUAGCCCGCGAUGGGUAGCCGGGUUGAGAGACCGACCGGCCACAUUGGGACUGAGAUACGGCCCAGACUCCUACGGGAGGCAGCAGUGGGGAAUUUUGCGCAAUGGGGGAAACCCUGACGCAGCAACGCCGCGUGCGGGACGACGGCCUUCGGGUUGUAAACCGCUUUCAGCAGGGAAGAAAUUCGACGGUACCUGCAGAAGAAGCUCCGGCUAACUACGUGCCAGCAGCCGCGGUAAUACGUAGGGAGCGAGCGUUAUCCGGAUUCAUUGGGCGUAAAGAGCGCGUAGGCGGCCUCUCAAGCGGGAUCUCUAAUCCGAGGGCUCAACCCCCGGCCGGAUCCCGAACUGGGAGGCUCGAGUUCGGUAGAGGCAGGCGGAAUUCCCGGUGUAGCGGUGGAAUGCGCAGAUAUCGGGAAGAACACCGAUGGCGAAGGCAGCCUGCUGGGCCGCAACUGACGCUGAGGCGCGAAAGCUAGGGGAGCGAACAGGAUUAGAUACCCUGGUAGUCCUAGCCGUAAACGAUGGAUACUAGGUGUGGGGGGCUCCGCCCUCCGUGCCGCAGCCAACGCAUUAAGUAUCCCGCCUGGGGAGUACGGCCGCAAGGCUAAAACUCAAAGGAAUUGACGGGGGCCCGCACAAGCAGCGGAGCAUGUGGCUUAAUUCGAAGCAACGCGAA